RNAcentral lists this small nuclear RNA (202 nucleotides) under Dasypus novemcinctus (nine-banded armadillo). RNAcentral describes it as "7SK RNA (ENSDNOG00000030015.2)". The stretch from base 1 to 180 matches the Rfam family "7SK RNA". From Rfam's summary of the family: 7SK was discovered as an abundant small nuclear RNA in the mid-70s but a possible function has only recently been suggested. The record is from RNAcentral. Lineage: Eukaryota; Metazoa; Chordata; Mammalia; Cingulata; Dasypodidae.
GAAUGUGAGGUCAAUCUGAUGAUGGCAUUGGUCUCCCCAUUGAUUAGGGGGUUUAUCAGGCUGAUCUGGCUGGACAGGCAAGUGCCUUUUCUCCCUCUCUGCUUUAUAUGCACACUUAAUAGAAAAGGAUGACCUUCCUGAAGAGAAGUUCCCUGUUCUUUUUUCCAAGGGUAAAGGGAACAUCCUCAAACAAAAGUGAUUU